Molecule: ribosomal RNA, 253 nt
Filed under: uncultured bacterium
Lineage: Bacteria
Description: partial 16S ribosomal RNA
Rfam family: Bacterial small subunit ribosomal RNA
Source: RNAcentral
UACGUAGGGUGCAAGCGUUAAUCGGAAUUACUGGGCGUAAAGCGUGCGUAGGUGGUUCGUUAAGUCCGUUGUGAAAGCCCCGAGCUCAACUUGGGAAUUGCAGUGGAUACUGGCGAGCUGGAGUGCGGUAGAGGAAGGUGGAAUUCCCGGUGUAGCGGUGAAAUGCGUAGAGAUCGGGAGGAACACCAGUGGCGAAGGCGGCCUUCUGGACCAGCACUGACACUCAAGCACGAAAGCGUGGGGAGCAAACAGG